Molecule: transfer RNA, 76 nt
Filed under: Bacillus subtilis
Lineage: Bacteria; Bacillati; Bacillota; Bacilli; Caryophanales; Bacillaceae
Also listed under: 5 other names
Description: tRNA-Lys
Rfam family: tRNA
About the family: Transfer RNA (tRNA) molecules are approximately 80 nucleotides in length. Their secondary structure includes four short double-helical elements and three loops (D, anti-codon, and T loops). Further hydrogen bonds mediate the characteristic L-shaped molecular structure. tRNAs have two regions of fundamental functional importance: the anti-codon, which is responsible for specific mRNA codon recognition, and the 3' end, to which the tRNAs corresponding amino acid is attached (by aminoacyl-tRNA synthetases). tRNAs cope with the degeneracy of the genetic code in two manners: having more than one tRNA (with a specific anti-codon) for a particular amino acid; and 'wobble' base-pairing, i.e. permitting non-standard base-pairing at the 3rd anti-codon position.
Source: RNAcentral
GCGCCAUUAGCUCAGUUGGUAGAGCAAAUGACUCUUAAUCAUUGGGUCCCGGGUUCGAGUCCCUGAUGGCGCACCA